RNAcentral lists this unclassified non-coding RNA (340 nucleotides) under plant metagenome. Its description in RNAcentral is "partial contains 5.8S ribosomal RNA, internal transcribed spacer 2, and large subunit ribosomal RNA". The stretch from base 1 to 105 matches the Rfam family "5.8S ribosomal RNA", at positions 50 to 154 of the family's 154-position model. The record is from RNAcentral.
GAAAUGCGAUAAGUAAUGUGAAUUGCAGAAUUCAGUGAAUCAUCGAAUCUUUGAACGCACAUUGCACCCGGUGGUAUUCUGCCGGGUAUGCCUGUUCGAGCGUCAUUUCUUCCCUCAGGCCUUGCUGCUCAGGCAGCCCAGGCACUGGUGUUGGGGAUCUACAGCGCUGAUUCUUCGGCGCUGUAGUCUUCUAAUUUCAUCGGCGUACGCGUGUACGUUGCCCCCUGCGUAGUGGAUUUUUAUUUUCUCGCAUCGGGCCGUGCCGCCGUGCCGCCGCAAAACUGGACACUUCCAGUGAGCUUGACCUCGAAUCAGGUAGGGUUACCCGCUGAACUUAAGC